Molecule: long non-coding RNA, 88 nt
Organism: Sinocyclocheilus grahami
Lineage: Eukaryota; Metazoa; Chordata; Actinopteri; Cypriniformes; Cyprinidae
Exons: 3
Source: RefSeq, a predicted model, not a curated record
GAGUGCUCAAAAAAAAAAAACAUAAUUUUGAAAGGAGAAAAACUAAAAAUCCUGUCAAAUUCAACUUUCCUCCAGUUUAAGUGUUAGA